GAGGGCGGGGGAUAACCACUGGAAACGGUGGCUAAUACCGCAUAAUGUCGCGAGACCAAAGUGGGGGACCUGAAAGGGCCUCACGCCGUCGGAUGAACCCAGAUGGGAUUAGCUGGUAGGUAGGGUAAUGGCCUACCUAGGCGACGAUCUCUAGCUGGUCUGAGAGGAUGACCAGCCACACUGGGACUGAGACACGGCCCAGACUCCUACGGGAGGCAGCAGUGGGGAAUAUUGCACAAUGGGCGCAAGCCUGAUGCAGCCAUGCCGCGUGUAUGAAGAAGGCCUUCGGGUUGUAAAGUACUUUCAGCGGGGAAGGAAGGGUUUAGCCUGAAGAAGGUUGGACUUUGACGUUACCC
This 356-nucleotide ribosomal RNA is filed under the name Photorhabdus sp. RNAcentral describes it as "bacterial SSU rRNA". It matches the Rfam family "Bacterial small subunit ribosomal RNA", at positions 132 to 480 of the family's 1533-position model. Lineage: Bacteria; Pseudomonadati; Pseudomonadota; Gammaproteobacteria; Enterobacterales; Morganellaceae. The record is from RNAcentral.